AAGGAACAUGGGAUUCCCAGCUCCAUGGGAGUUGCUGACAGACUGACAGUUGCGACGGAUGAGCCGUCGCAUAUAAGCUGUACAAGAGGAGAUUGAAGAAUAAACACAGAAAAAAGACCCCGGGCUGUGCAGAAGGCUGCCGCAACAAGAGCUCCACCUCUCCCCAAGAGACCGGUGCUUUCUUGGAGGUGAAUGAAGAACUCGCUAUAACUCCUGGGACAUCAGAGCCGAUGGAUCCCCCCGUGGCUCUCGAGCCCAUGGGUCCCAUCUCCUCAUGUGCGCAGUAGCGGCUUGCUGACCCGCCUGGACGCCGGCUACCUCCGCCGGUAGUAAAGCUGGUGCAGGGCUGAUGCGUGGAUCUCAUUGGCAAGGCCUGUGGGAAUAGCUGGUUUUGUGUGGGUUGUAAAUCUUCCCAGGAUCCCUUUCUGCGAAUGUAUUCUGCCUAUUUCAGGGAGUCCUUUGGGGUUUACACCACAUAUUUACUAGUGGCUGUGUUCUUGUCUUCCCAGUGCUAUGUGCAGUCGUCCUCCCUGUGGCUUUUAAUCCCAGGAGAGGAGGGACUCUGUGGAGAGAUGCGAUCUCCUAUUUAGGGCAAGGACAGUCUGAACCCUCUUGGCUUUGGGAAGGUUCUUUGGAGCAGUGGGGAGGAAGCAUACAGGUCUUAGAAAACCUGGGGUCUUUUCUCAAAUGAUUGCUAAUUCUUAAGGGCUUAGAGUCUUUUUGGAUUCUAAAUGUAAUACAGAUUUAGAGGAAAGUUAAUGAACACUUGAGGUUAAAAGGUGAAUGUCCCAUAUUUUCACUCCCCAGUGAUAGGCACAUGGAUAUCCUUCAUGUUUACACAUUAUAUCACUUUAAAAAUACUGGGCUUUUCCCACGUAUACUGUCUAAUAAGUCACGUAAUGACAUAUUAUGGAGCACCUUCACACGUCGGUCUGUGUUGACCUGCCUCACUUUAGAACAAUGGCUUUGCAGAAGCAUUUCACUGCACGGAAGGACUGACUGAUUUAAAGUUCCUCAUUCAUGGGCAUUUAGAGAGCUUUCAAUUCACUGGCACAAUGCUGCUACACUCGCCUGUGCCCUCUGGGGGCAUGUCUGUAGGGUCACUUUCUACAACUUGAAUUGCCAGAGCAAUUGCACAGGAAAACGCUGGACUCUGCCCUCCGGCAAUGCUGUGUGCGCAGCGGUGCGGAGAGGGCCUGGGUUCCCAUGGCCCCAGCUGAAGGAUGAUCAGUUUGGAUUUGUGAGAGCAUCUCAUUUAAAGUCGCAUGUAAUCAAUUAUGAGUAAAGUAUUUUUUCAUGACCACUUGCCUACUCGUGUCCUUUGCCUGCUUUUCUAUUUCAUUUUUUCCUUUUUGAUUGAUAAGUUUUAACACAUUAUGGAGAGUGACCCUUUGUCCUGUUUUGUCAACAUUUUACCUGCUCAUUUAUCUUUUGCUCUCUGUAAUGCCUUUUGCUGUAGUUUUAUAUUUUUUACAUAUUAAGCAGUAUUAGUUUUUUAAAAUAAUGUUUUUGACCUUGAUCUCUGUCCAGUGUUGGAAAUUAUAUUUUUAUGUGAUUAUGAAUUGUGAAAGGAUUCCUUGUUGAGAAUGUAUUUGGCCCCUUUUCAGGGAGUUCAUUUUGGGUGUUUACUAGGGGCUGUGUGUACUGCCUGGCAUUGUAAAACCCAUCCUCCUCCUCUAUUCUUACAUUAAAAAUAUUUCCCAUAU
Myotis brandtii (Brandt's bat) is the source of this 1706-nucleotide long non-coding RNA. RefSeq lists it as uncharacterized. NCBI's taxonomy places the organism in Eukaryota, Metazoa, Chordata, Mammalia, Chiroptera, Vespertilionidae. The transcript is spliced from 2 exons. The record is from RefSeq and is a predicted model, not a curated record.